This 403-nucleotide ribosomal RNA is filed under the name uncultured bacterium. RNAcentral describes it as "partial 16S ribosomal RNA". It matches the Rfam family "Bacterial small subunit ribosomal RNA", at positions 30 to 526 of the family's 1533-position model. The record is from RNAcentral.
AUUGAACGCUGGCGGCAGGCCUAACACAUGCAAGUCGAGCGAGCGGCGGACGGGUGAGUAAUGUAUGGGGGCUGCCCGAUAGAGGGGGAGAACUCCUGGGGACGGUGGCGCAUACAGCAUAUGAUCUGAGAACGCCUAUAGGAUUAGCUAGUAGUGGAGGUAAUGGCUCACCUAGGCGACGAGCCCUAGCUGGUCUGAGAGGAUGAUCAGCCAAACUGUGACUGAGACACGGCCCAGACUCCUACGGAGGCAGCAGUGGGGAAUAGUGCACAAUGGGCGCAAGCCUGAUGCAGCCAUGCCGCGUGUAUGAAGAAGGCCCUAGGGUUGUAAAGUACUUUCAGUCGGGAGGCGUUACCGACAGAAGAAGCACCGGCUAACUCCGUGCCAGCAGCCGCGGUAAUUC